AUGGAAUAUCUGACAAUAUUUAUCAGAUGGUGCUGUAUCCCUCUACAGCACAUCAACUUUAUCACGGAGGAGAUUGCAAAUUGGCACGUGAGCAGGUGGACAUUUGAAGCUCGACAUCUGACAGUGAUCUGCGUUCAAGUGGCAAGUAACUAUGCUGUGACAUACAAACGACGGCUAAUGAGUCAAAUUAAGAACAUGUGGGUAGAAUCGAGCCAUAACUUGAUGGACACUGGAUUUCUUGAGACAUUGUUGAAGGAUAAGGCUAUGUUGCACAUGUACGUGAACAUCUUUGCUGCCAUGCAUACAAACGUCACAUCAGGAGGCACCUUCUACCAACAUGUUGAUAAAAUUGAGACACUGGUGAAUGGGCACAAUUGGACCAUCAACACAGAUCUGACCAUUGCAGAUGAGAGGACAAUGUAUCUGAUGUGCUGUCGACAUGAACCCCAUGAAGUAACGGUGUUGGUGUCUCAGUCUAAGACCAAGACCAAGAUGAUAUCAGUGCGAUGUGAACAGCCUCAGAGAAUCUACGACCUAAUGAAGAAGUAUGGUGUGAAAUGCUCCAAUGUCUGGGAUUCCACAGUGUGUCUGUCAGCUAAGUCUCCUUGCACAGCCCUGAAGGAUUACAAUAUGACCAUCGUUAAUGUCAACAGUAUCCUAGACAAUGAUGAAUUUCAUGAAGAACCUGACAUUGUAUGUUUUUACCACAACAUGAGAAGUAUCCGAAUGCAAGCCAAGUGCAGCGCAUUCAGACACCAUCCCUACACUGCUGUGCAACCAUUGUCCAGUGUGAACCUGGGAAGCGAGGUUGACUGUAUUCCGGUUGCCCUGUACUACUGUGAUGAAGUGUCAACACUCAGCGAUGUCAUCAAGGCGGAUGGUCGAUUCCUCUCAUCUGUCCAGUGUCGGGGUCAACAAUUGGGUGAGGUUACAGACAAAUAUGUUGCACAAGUGUUACACGACACCUCCCUCAUCCUUCAGGGUAAGAACAUCAGUCUACAUUAUAAUUUAUUAUGA
RNAcentral lists this long non-coding RNA (1017 nucleotides) under Sparus aurata (gilthead seabream). Its description in RNAcentral is "lncRNA (ENSSAUG00010005249.1)". Lineage: Eukaryota; Metazoa; Chordata; Actinopteri; Spariformes; Sparidae. The record is from RNAcentral.